UACAGAGGUCCCAAGCGUUACUGAGAAUCACUGGGUUUAAAGGGUGCGUAGGUGGUCCGUUAAGUCAGUUGUGAAAUCCCCGGGCUCAACUCGGGAACUGCUUCUGAUACUGGCGGACUUGAGGCCAGUAGGGGUCACUAGAACUGACGGUGGAGCGGUGAAAUGCGUAGAUAUCGUCAGGAAUGCCGGUGGUGAAGGCGGGUCUCUGGGCCGAUACUGACGCUGAGGAGCGAAAGCGUGGGGAGCGAACAGG
This 253-nucleotide ribosomal RNA is filed under the name uncultured bacterium. RNAcentral describes it as "partial 16S ribosomal RNA". It matches the Rfam family "Bacterial small subunit ribosomal RNA", at positions 524 to 776 of the family's 1533-position model. The record is from RNAcentral.